This 463-nucleotide ribosomal RNA is filed under the name uncultured Anaerolineaceae bacterium. RNAcentral describes it as "bacterial SSU rRNA". It matches the Rfam family "Bacterial small subunit ribosomal RNA", at positions 901 to 1382 of the family's 1533-position model. Lineage: Bacteria; Bacillati; Chloroflexota; Anaerolineae; Anaerolineales; Anaerolineaceae. The record is from RNAcentral.
UUAAAGGAAUUGACGGGACCCGCACAAGCAGCGGAGCGUGUGGUUUAAUCGUUGCUACACGAAGAACCUUACCUGGGUUUGACAUAUAGGUUGUAGGGAACUGAAAAGGGACCGACCUUCGGGAGCCUAUACAGGUGUUGCAUGGCUGUCGUCAGCUCGUGUCGUGAGAUGUUCGGUUAAGUCCGCUAACGAGCGCAACCCUCGUCGUAUGUUAUAUGUGUCAUACGAGACUGCCGGUAAAAGCCGGAGGAAGGUGAGGAUGGUGUCAAGUCAGCAUGACCUUUAUAUCCAGGGCUACACACACGCUACAAUGGUCUGUACAAUGGGUAGCCAAGCCGCGAGGCGGAGCCAAUCCUGAAAGCAGGCCUCAGUUCAGAUUGCAGUCUGCAACUCGACUGCAUGAAGCCGGAGUUGCUAGUAACCGCAGGUCAGCAAUACUGCGGUGAAUACGUUCCCGGGUCUU